Myotis brandtii (Brandt's bat) is the source of this 388-nucleotide long non-coding RNA. RefSeq lists it as uncharacterized. The transcript is spliced from 3 exons. The record is from RefSeq and is a predicted model, not a curated record. NCBI's taxonomy places the organism in Eukaryota, Metazoa, Chordata, Mammalia, Chiroptera, Vespertilionidae.
GACAAUAAAAUUUUAUUUUCAAAACCAAGAAAUUGUGUUUUCUGCCUAUCCUUUUGGAGACAAGGAGUAAUCUUGGUCUGUCACUAGCAUCAGGUAUGAGGGGCAGAUGUGGACUGUGGUGGAAAAGAUUGGGCUUCUAAUCGCAGCUCUGGCUGUCCCAGCUUUUUCAGUUGCCAGUGCCAGAAACCCAACUCCAAUGAACUCAAGGAAAAUGGAGUAUGGGACAAGGAGUGCUCAGAGAACAUGACCUCUGGCAGUUCAGGACUCAAACAUUGAUGGCCCCAGUCCUGGAGAGGAAAAGGGAUCUCUCUAUUCAGGGAUAGAAGCAGCUGUAACCAGAUGAUCUUAACCUGAGCUCAACACAGAUAAAUUUGUGACUGCAAAGAAG